Molecule: long non-coding RNA, 897 nt
Organism: Solenopsis invicta (red fire ant)
Lineage: Eukaryota; Metazoa; Arthropoda; Insecta; Hymenoptera; Formicidae
Exons: 4
Source: RefSeq, a predicted model, not a curated record
UGCGCCGUUUACUGCACCUGAUUUAUACUUGUCGUUUUAUUUCUUGUUUUCUUUAUUCAUAAAAAUAUAAACUUAAGCGUAUAUGAUACCAAGUAAAAUAAAACAAAACGGAAUUAUCUGAAUUUCAAAAGAACAUUAAAACACCAGAAAAUCAUCAUGAACACAUGUACGAUGCAGGAAAACAUAAAACAUGCAAAAGAAAAUAAAGAAUUACAUGUAAAGUAUAUGUGCGCGCACCUUCAACUUAACUUCAUUUCCAUACCAGCAAUAAAAAGAGAUUUGUCUGAGAGCAAAUGUGCAUUAAUAAUCCGCAAAUUAUGCUGUCACAUGCGACGUGAAGGACUGAUCCAACUGUUAAGCUUAUCGCUUGAUGAGCGUAAGCAAUUCGAAAUAGCAUCGGCGAAGAAUAAUUGAAGGCAUGAUACAAACAUGGCAAGUGUUAUAUAGAAAUUCUCAGCGAAGUCGUCGGCAUUGUCCACAAUCAAAAUUAAAUCCAACAGUUGUGAUAACGUAAAUGUAUUUAUUAGCAAAACUAUGAGAAUUGUAUAUAUAUCAUACAGGAUACGUUUACACCGCGAGGUCCACGAAUUCGGCGGCCAACAUCCACAAAUGCACGACAAAAUGAGAACUGACAAUGAUAAAAGAAUCUAUAGCUAACGUAAUUUAAUUUUUAUCCGCAACUUUCGUUCCUGUAUUCAACAGCUAUGUUAUUAUCGUGGCAUGGAACUUGUAAUUUUAUAUCCCCACGCAAAACUAUGUUUUCACAUACGCAACGGUUUUAAUGUAUGUCUUAUGCAUGAAGUCGUAUGUCACUUUUAUGGCUAAACUAUGGUUUACAGUUCUACGUUAUACUGUACAAUGUCAGCAAGUUAUCAAUAAUGAUUUAGUCAUAUGAAA